This 492-nucleotide ribosomal RNA is filed under the name uncultured bacterium. Its description in RNAcentral is "bacterial SSU rRNA". It matches the Rfam family "Bacterial small subunit ribosomal RNA", at positions 28 to 518 of the family's 1533-position model. The record is from RNAcentral.
GAUGAACGCUGGCGGCGUGCUUAACACAUGCAAGUCGAACGAAGCACUUUAUUUGAUUUCCUUCGGGACUGAUUAUUUUGUGACUGAGUGGCGGACGGGUGAGUAACGCGUGGGUAACCUGCCUUGUACAGGGGGAUAACAGUUGGAAACGGCUGCUAAUACCGCAUAAGCGCACGGCAUCGCAUGAUGCAGUGUGAAAAACUCCGGUGGUAUAAGAUGGACCCGCGUUGGAUUAGCUAGUUGGUGAGGUAACGGCCCACCAAGGCGACGAUCCAUAGCCGGCCUGAGAGGGUGAACGGCCACAUUGGGACUGAGACACGGCCCAAACUCCUACGGGAGGCAGCAGUGGGGAAUAUUGCACAAUGGGGGAAACCCUGAUGCAGCGACGCCGCGUGAGUGAUGAAGUAUUUCGGUAUGUAAAACUCUAUCAGCAGGGAAGAUAAUGACGGUACCUGACUAAGAAGCACCGGCUAAAUACGUGCCAGCAGCCGA